The sequence is a transfer RNA, 72 nucleotides long. It matches the Rfam family "tRNA". Rfam says of the family: Transfer RNA (tRNA) molecules are approximately 80 nucleotides in length. Their secondary structure includes four short double-helical elements and three loops (D, anti-codon, and T loops).
GAUGCAGUUGCCAAAUGGGAAGGCGGCGGUCCGCAAAACCGCUACGAGCGCGUUCGAUUCGCGCCUGCGUCU